GGUGCGUAGCUCAACUGGCAGAGCCCCCCGACCACGGGGAGAUGCGGGUUCGAAUCCCGUCCGCACCA
This 68-nucleotide transfer RNA is filed under the name Saccharopolyspora erythraea. Its description in RNAcentral is "tRNA-Gly". It matches the Rfam family "tRNA". Rfam says of the family: Transfer RNA (tRNA) molecules are approximately 80 nucleotides in length. Their secondary structure includes four short double-helical elements and three loops (D, anti-codon, and T loops). The record is from RNAcentral. Lineage: Bacteria; Bacillati; Actinomycetota; Actinomycetes; Pseudonocardiales; Pseudonocardiaceae.